CCCCUUGAGAAAUGUUCCCCCACCUAAGUCUUGAGGUGGAGUCAACUUCCUAAAAGUUGUAAGUGCAGGCAACCCAACCUGAGGCCCCAGGCCAGGGCCCUCCUGAGCCACACCUUGCUGCAUGAUCUCCACAAUCUGUACCACCUUGUCCAUGUGCUUCCGAGCAGCAAUCAGCCCUUGCAGCAUGAGCAUCUUGUAGUAGUUGAACAUAUCACCGUUCAGGCCACCCAUUACCUAGAAGCAAGGAGAGUGACUUGUGUGCACAGAGGAAUUCUGGUGGGUCCUUUCCCUGAGGCCUCAGAGCUUCCUCUCUUAAGGUAAUCAUGGUAAAUUUCCUUAUCACUAUCUCCACAUUUUCUUUCAUAAGCUCGCUCCCAGGCAAUCCUGCCUCGUCUUGACUUACUGCCAUUUCUGUUCUGUUCCUAAUUUGGGGGAGCCCAUCAGCUCCUCUCAGAGGAAGAACACAGUUACCCUUGGAAGCACUUCUCUUUUUUGACUCACAUCCACAAAUUCUGUGGUCAGCUUAAAGGCUGAUGUCUCGAAGCCCAGGUUUCGGGGUGAGCUGGAAAGGAUGAAGCCAAAGUCGAUGUGGAUGAUGUGACCUUCUGCGUCCAGAAGGAUGUUCCCGUUGUGCCUAAGGAAGAGGCAACAGAAGUAAUCGAGCAAGGAGAGCUGUGACUGUUUCUUCACCUGGUGGAUGGACACAGCGUUGACUACUGGUUCAAUCAUGCCACUGUCAGCUGAAAUCACAAGAAUCUUAUAUGGCUUGAUCCAAAGAGGCACUCGCUCCUGUUCCCAAAUGGACUGUGAAGAGACAC
RNAcentral lists this long non-coding RNA (818 nucleotides) under Mus caroli (Ryukyu mouse). RNAcentral's name for it is "predicted gene 15265 (MGP_CAROLIEiJ_G0003401.1)". The record is from RNAcentral. Lineage: Eukaryota; Metazoa; Chordata; Mammalia; Rodentia; Muridae.